GACGAACGCUGGCGGCGUGCCUACACAUGCAAGUCGAGCGAAGUUUUCUGGUGCUUGCACUAGAAAAACUUAGCGGCGAACGGGUGAGUAACACGUAAAGAACCUGCCUCAUAGACGGGGACAACUAUUGGAAACGAUAGCUAAUACCGGAUAACAGCAUAAAUCGCAUGAUAUAUGUUUAAAAGUUGGUUUCGGCUAACACUAUGAGAUGGCUUUGCGGUGCAUUAGCUAGUUGGUGGGGUAAAGGCCUACCAAGGCGACGAUGCAUAGCCGACCUGAGAGGGUGAUCGGCCACACUGGGACUGAGACACGGCCCAGACUCCUACGGGAGGCAGCAGUAGGGAAUCUUCCGCAAUGGGCGAAAGCCUGACGGAGCAACGCCGCGUGAGUGAAGAAGGAUUUCGGUUCGUAAAGCUCUGUUGUUAGGGAAGAAUGAUUGUAUAGUAACUAUAUACAGUAGAGACGGUACCUAACCAGAAAGCCACGGCUAACUACGUGCCAGCAGCCGCGGUAAUACGUAGGUGGCAAGCGUUGUCCGGAAUUAUUGGGCGUAAAGCGCGCGCAGGUGGUUUAAUAAGUCUGAUGUGAAAGCCCACGGCUCAACCGUGGAGGGUCAUUGGAAACUGUUAAACUUGAGUGCAGGAGAGAAAAGUGGAAUUCCUAGUGUAGCGGUGAAAUGCGUAGAGAUUAGGAGGAACACCAGUGGCGAAGGCGGCUUUUUGGCCUGUAACUGACACUGAGGCGCGAAAGCGUGGGGAGCAAACAGG
Molecule: ribosomal RNA, 767 nt
Filed under: uncultured bacterium
Lineage: Bacteria
Description: bacterial SSU rRNA
Rfam family: Bacterial small subunit ribosomal RNA
Source: RNAcentral